CCUACGGGUGGCAGCAGUAGGGAAUAUUGCUCAAUGGGGGAAACCCUGAAGCAGCAACGCCGCGUGGAGGAUGAAGGUUUUCGGAUUGUAAACUCCUUUUGUUAGAGAAGAUAAUGACGGUAGCAGAGGAGGAAGCUCCGGCUAACUACGUGCCAGCAGCCGCGGUAAUACGUAGGGAGCAAGCGUUGUCCGGAUUUACUGGGUGUAAAGGGUGCGUAGGCGGCUUUGCAAGUCAGAAGUGAAAUCCAUGGGCUUAACCCAUGAACUGCUUUUGAAACUGCAUCCCUUGAGUGCGCGAGAAGUAUGCGGAAUGCGUGGUGUAGCGGUGAAAUGCAUAGAUAUCACGCAGAACUCCGAUUGCGAAGGCAGCAUACCGGCGCGCAACUGACGCUCAUGCACGAAAGCGUGGGUAUCGAACAGGAUUAGAUACCCUUGUAGUC
RNAcentral lists this ribosomal RNA (440 nucleotides) under uncultured bacterium. RNAcentral's name for it is "partial 16S ribosomal RNA". It matches the Rfam family "Bacterial small subunit ribosomal RNA", at positions 338 to 795 of the family's 1533-position model. The record is from RNAcentral.